Molecule: ribosomal RNA, 276 nt
Filed under: uncultured bacterium
Lineage: Bacteria
Description: partial 16S ribosomal RNA
Rfam family: Bacterial small subunit ribosomal RNA
Source: RNAcentral
AUCCGCUUUGGGAGUGGCCUGCGUACGAUUAGAUAGUUGGUGAGGUAAUGGCUCACCAAGUCUACGAUCGUUAACUGGUUUGAGAGGAUGAUCAGUCAGACUGGAACUGAGACACGGUCCAGACUCCUACGGGAGGCAGCAGUGAGGAAUCUUCCACAAUGGACGAAAGUCUGAUGGAGCAACUCCGCGUGCAGGAUGAAGGCCUUCGGGUCGUAAACUGCUUUAUGAGUGAAGAAUAUGACGGUAACUCAUGAAUAAGGGUCGGCUAACUACGUG